RNAcentral lists this long non-coding RNA (367 nucleotides) under Carica papaya (papaya). RNAcentral describes it as "long non-coding RNA (CPAP_LNC009401)". Lineage: Eukaryota; Viridiplantae; Streptophyta; Magnoliopsida; Brassicales; Caricaceae. The record is from RNAcentral.
CGGAUCCUUCCCUUCCCCAGCGUUCACUCACUGCCUCUCCCUAUCUCUCUCUCGGACCACAUCCUCCCACCACAACAUCUUUCUAUCUCCUCCCGCGUUACUCACCCCACCUGUUGCCUCUCCCACAGCUCACUAACCUUACACCUCUUCCUCUCUCCUCCUGCGUUGCUCACACAACCCGCUCACUCUCACACAGUUCACACACAUCUUCCUCUCCUCCCCCGUGUUGCUCACACAACAUGUUCCCUCUCACACCGCUUAUUAACCUCACACAUCUUCCUCUCUCCUCCUGCGUUGCUCACACAACCCGCUCCCUCUCACACAGUUCACACACAUUUUCCUCUCUUCCGAUCUCCACUCACUCCAC